Molecule: ribosomal RNA, 786 nt
Filed under: Compsomelissa keiseri
Lineage: Eukaryota; Metazoa; Arthropoda; Insecta; Hymenoptera; Apidae
Description: SSU rRNA
Rfam family: Eukaryotic small subunit ribosomal RNA
Source: RNAcentral
CGGGGAGGUAGUGACGAAAAAUAACGAUACGGGACUCAUCCGAGGCCCCGUAAUCGGAAUGAGUACACUUUAAAUCCUUUAACGAGGACCAAUUGGAGGGCAAGUCUGGUGCCAGCAGCCGCGGUAAUUCCAGCUCCAAUAGCGUAUAUUAAAGUUGUUGCGGUUAAAAAGCUCGUAGUUGAAUCUGUGUGUCACAGUGUCGGUUCACCGCUCGCGGUGUUUAACUGGCAUUAUGUGGUACGUCCUACCGGUGGGCUUAGCUCUUCGCGGGGCGGUCCAACUCAAUUACCCAUCGCGGUGCUCUUCACUGAGUGUCGAGGUGGGCCGGUACGUUUACUUUGAACAAAUUAGAGUGCUCAAAGCAGGCUAUCUUCGCCUGAAUACUCUGUGCAUGGAAUAAUGGAAUAGGACCUCGGUUCUAUUUUGUUGGUUUUCGGAACCCCGAGGUAAUGAUUAAUAGGGACAGAUGGGGGCAUUCGUAUUGCGACGUUAGAGGUGAAAUUCUUGGAUCGUCGCAAGACGGACUAAAGCGAAAGCAUUUGCCAAAAAUGUUUUCAUUAAUCAAGAACGAAAGUUAGAGGUUCGAAGGCGAUCAGAUACCGCCCUAGUUCUAACCAUAAACGAUGCCAGCUAGCGAUCCGCCGAAGUUCCUUAGAUGACUCGGCGGGCAGCUUCCGGGAAACCAAAGCUUUUGGGUUCCGGGGGAAGUAUGGUUGCAAAGCUGAAACUUAAAGGAAUUGACGGAAGGGCACCACCAGGAGUGGAGCCUGCGGCUUAAUUUGACUC